This 482-nucleotide long non-coding RNA is filed under the name Musa acuminata (dwarf banana). Its description in RNAcentral is "long non-coding RNA (MACU_LNC001346)". The record is from RNAcentral. Lineage: Eukaryota; Viridiplantae; Streptophyta; Magnoliopsida; Zingiberales; Musaceae.
ACGUAAACGUAAAUUGCAAAGAAACUCGUUCGUAAAAGCGCAGAAGACAGUUUGCAGUUAUAAAUAGAAUCAAAACGUAAAUGUAAACUGCAAUGUAAAGAUCAUACGAAAACACCGAUUUACGUCUGAAUGUAGAUUCGGAAAGAUCAGAACUUAGAAACUUGUUCGUAAAAGCGCAGAGAACAGUAACUAUGUAGGAGGUUUGCAGUAAUGAUAAAGUGCUCAAAAUAAAAGCAAACCAGAGAUUUAGAGUGGUUCGGUCAGUCUUGACCUACUCCACUUUUUGCUUCCUCCACCGACGAGGUCACCGACGUCAACUAGAGGCCUUCCUUCAAUAGGCGAAGGCCAACUGCCCUUUUACAGUUUCACUCCUUUUGACGGGCUUAGGAGACAACCCUUACAGAACCUUUCUCUCCUCUCUUUACAACUCAAGACUUGAAGAACAGAAAGAGGAGAACUUUUGGACUUUACACAAAUUUGAG